This is a long non-coding RNA of Marmota monax (woodchuck), 9591 nucleotides long. RefSeq lists it as uncharacterized. The transcript has 3 exons. NCBI's taxonomy places the organism in Eukaryota, Metazoa, Chordata, Mammalia, Rodentia, Sciuridae. The record is from RefSeq and is a predicted model, not a curated record.
AACACCACUUCAAAAACUCAGGCAAAAAAGAAAUAAGGGAAAUUAUAAAAUAUUCUGGACUGACUGAAAAUAAAGAUGGAAUUUCAAAACUUGUAAGAUUCAACUAAAGCAGCACUUAAAAGUUUAUAGUUUAAAACCCUUAUUCAAGGGAGAAAAACAUGUCUAAAAUCAAUUAUCUGAACUUAUGUCAUAAAAAAGUAGCAGGGCAAAUUAAAUACAUGAUAGGUAGAAAGAAUAAUAAAAUAUAAGCAAAAAUCAAUGAAAUUAAUGUGUUUUUUUUCAAAAAAUGAAACUAGACAUAGAUGAAGCAAGAAUUUAAAAGGAGACAUCACUAGAAAUCUUAUAGAAUCAAAUGGAAAAUAAGAAAAUAUGUAAUAAUUUUUUCCAGUUUUUGAGUGUGGUGAAUAGCCAACCAAAUUUACUAUCUUAAACAUUUCUAAGUGUAAAUCUCAAUAGAAUUAAAUAUAAUCAUAUUGUCAUGCAAACUUUGCCACUAUUAUGCAUCUCCAUUGGUAUAUUCACUUUGCGAAACUGACAUUCUAUACCCUUUCAGCAAUAACUCCUGAUUUUCUUCUUCAUGAAGCCUAUGACAAACACCAUUCUACUUUCUGUUACUAUGAUUUUGACUGAGUAACUAAUAUAUGUAGAAUCCCACAAGAUUUGUCUUCUUCUGGUUGCUUAUUUUAUUUAUGGUAAUGUCUAAUGUUGUAUAACAUACAUUAGGAUUUUGAUCCUUUUCAAGACUGAAUAAUUUUCUAUUGUAUGUUUAUGCCACAUUUUGCCUAUCCAUUCAUCUACUGAUUAAUACUAAGAUCACCUCCAUGUUUUUGUUGUUGUAAAUAAUGGUGCUAUAAACAUGGGUACACAAGUUUCUUUUUAACAUUUUGCCUUCACUUCGGGGGGUGGGGGGAAUGUAUCCAUACAUGGAAUUGCUGGAUUAUGUGAUUUCUGUUUUCAUUUUCAAAAAGAACUCUCAUAAUGUUUUCCACAGCAUCUGUAUCAUUUUACAUUCCCACCAACAGUACCCCAGACUCUGGUUUUUCUAAAUCUUUGUCAAUACUUGUUACUUUGUUUUGUUUUGUUUUGUUUCUUCAUCACAGUCAUCCCAGCCAUACUAACCUGUGUGAGGUAAGACCUUAUUGAUUUGCAUUUCCCUAAUGAUUAGUGAUGUGAAACAUCUCUUCAUACUUCAUAUACUAUUUGUAUAUUUUCUUUGGAGAAAUGUCUGUUCAAGUACUUUAACCAAUUUUAUUUAAGGUUGUUUGUUUUCUUGAUGAUGAGUUUUAUGGGUUCUCACCUUCUAUCCUGUUUUAUGCUACUAUAAAUGGAACAGAUUCUUGUAAUUUUUCUUUUCAGGUUGCUCAGUGUAAGUGUGUAGAAAUGCAACUGAUUUGGUGUGUUGACUUUGUAUCCUACUUUGCUGGGUUUAUUAAUUCCAACAGUUGUGUGUAUGUGUGUGUAAUCUUAAGGUUUUCUAUGUACAAGAUAUCAUCUGUGAACAGAGAUAACUUUACUUCUUCUUUUCUGAUUUGGAUCCCUGUUAUUUCUUUUUCUUGCCCAAUUACUCUGGUUAGCAAUUAUAUUACUCUGUUGAAUAGAAGUGGGCAGAGAUGAGUUCCUUGUCUUGCACCUCAUCUUAGAGGAAAAGCAUUCAGCCUUUUCAUCAUUAAGAUAUUCAGUAUGGUUUUUAUUAUGUAAUUUAAUAAAAUAGUAUUUUUUUACUAUUCCCCAAGAAUGGAGUGGUUUUUUUCUUUCAUGAAAGGGCUUUGAAUUUUGUUAAAUGUUCUUUCUAUAUUAAUUCAGAUGAUAUUACAAAUAAUUUUAUACCAAUAAAUUUAUCAAAAGAGGCAGAAUGAGAAAAUUCCUUGAAAGACUCAAAAGUUUCAUUAAAAAGAAACAUAUUUUGAAUAGUCCUCUAUCUAUUAAAGAAAUUAAAUGUAGAAAUAACUUCCUCACCCCCACCCUAUCCUAAGCCAGGAAAAGUUCACUGGAACUUCUGUCAAACACUCCAAUGUAUUUUAUGUCGUUAUGUUUCCCUUGAUAGCAAAAUUAGAACCCGAAUAUGCAAAAAAUAAAUUAUCCUGUUAGUUACAGGCCUAACCUUGAACAAGUUGCUUUAUGUCUCUGGUUUUCACGUUUCUCACUCCCAAACAUUUGGUAAAAUAUUCUUACUUAGAUUCUGACACUGGAAAGAAGAGCCCGGAGGAGAGACCAGCAUCUGCAUCACCUCCUGCCCAGCACUGCAGGGGCUAUACCACCUGCUCCUUUCCGAGCAGUGGCAGAAUUACACAAAGUGGCCAGCUGAGGAGUGUGGGAAGCCAUCCGUGAAUUACAUGAGGAUCUUCUCUCAGAGGCCCCCAGCAUGAUUUGGAUUCCACAUUACAGCGUGGGCAUUCCUGGUGGAAACUAGAAAGGGUGUCAUCUCCAAUAUAACCCGAGCUGCACCUUUGGACAAUGACAACUCCCAAAGACACCAGCAGCACAGAACCUGAGCCAAAAAGGAAAAAGAGAGGUUAAGUGAGGCAUGGUGGCUUGGAGAAAUACACCUCAGAGAACAUGCAUGACAGCCCGUGGAACUCUGAGAACUGCUGAGGAGAAAUUUAAGGAAGAAUGGAAUUCCUGCACAAAGUGCCCAGUACGCUGCUUAUCUAUUGCUGCACAACAAACCAUUCCAAACCCAGUGGCUUAAAACAGCUCGUUGGCUUACUAUUUGGACUGAGAACAGCUGGGUUUUUCUACUGCUGGCCUCUCAUAGACUCAGUCCUGCAUCUGUGGUGAGCUGAGUGGUUCUACUUCUGGCUGUCAGCAGGGUCCUGGUGUCCAGUCCAAGCUUCUUUACACAGGAGCAGCAGCAUGAGUCCCCAGAGCAGCAAAAGACAAGCCCCCACAUGCAGGCGGGUUUCAAGACUCUGCCUGAGACAUGUGUGCUGAUGCCCUCUUGGCUAAAGCAAGUCACCUGGCCAGGCUAGAUUCAAGGGCCAAGGACAUGGGUGCUACCCUCUCAGUACGAGGAUUUUUAUUGUCAGUGUAUGAACUGAAGGGUGGAAAAGAGUUGGGGCUAAUUUUGCAACUUACCUUACAGAGAAACAGAGCUGAGCUUGUUGGUAUGACUUUACUUUUUAUUCCCAGGUUUGAAGUGCCACACAAACAGGUGAAAUUAGUCCUGUACUUUACAUAGCAGCAUAUUUUAUAGUAAAAUGUUAAUAAGUUGAUGAGUCCUCAAAAAUAAUUGGAACUUCCUUGAGCAAACUGUCAGUUUUAUUUAAGGUUUAAGACUCUAUGCAAAGUUACACAUGGAAAUGCAAAUUUAAAUUCUUCAUAGACGGUUUGCCUGUGUGUGUAUGUGUGUGUGUGUGUGUGCUUGUGUACACACACAUACACCAGGAAUUGAACCCAGGAGGGCUUAACCACUGAGCAACAUCCCCAGCCCUUUCCACUUUAUUAUUUUGAGACAGUGUCUCUCUAAGUUUCACAGGGCCUCACUAAGUUGCUGAGGCUGGCUUUAAACUUGUGAUCCUUCUGCCUCAGCCUCCCAAGUUGCUGGGUUUAUAUCUUUUAUAAAAUCCCAGCCCUUCUAAAAUCUAACCCUGUGAGAUCUUUCUUGUGCAUUCAGGCAGGUCACACCUUUAUGUAAUGCCAUCUUUAAGAGAUUCAUGAGCACUCACAGUAGAAUUUAGAACUCUGGAAUAUAUACCAAUUUUCCCUAAAUCCAAUCUGUGUUUAGCAAUUAAACUGAGUGUCAUACCAAAUCCUUUUAACUGUCACUCAUUGAACUUACAUAUAAACCAUCUGGGUACUGGGCACCAUGCUAAGGGCUGUGACUAUCACAGGAACAGAAGGAAGAAGGUGGGCAGGAGCUGAGCCUACCUUCUUGUAUCUUAUGGUUCAUGGGACAUAUACCAGUGACUUCUUAAAGAAAUACAGUUCAAGAAUUUCAAUUCAUUUUCAAAAUUAAAGUGAAUUUUGCAUUUUUAAAUAUUCACCCUUAGAUCACUUUUAAUUUUCAUAAAGCCUCUCUCCUCUGAAGAAGGUUUAAAAGUAACUGACUUUCUUCUCUUCAUCAUGAAAUUGUCACCAAGUUAUUUUCAGUUCUGACUGUCCUGAAGCUUCUUCUGAGGAUAUUAAUCUCUCUGGGCAGUUGAAAUAAAUUCCAAGUAAAUUUCCUCGUACACAGAACCAGGCUUUUACUUAGACACCUCUUCAAAGGAAGCUGCUCCACUGAGCCAGGCUGGGGCAGGGUGAGAGCAGACAACAUGGGCCACUGUCAUCACCCCUAACACUGUCCUUUAAAAAUGCACAAAAUCUGGUCCUCAACAAAUCUGAAAGGAGCAAGGUCCACUCUUGACACAGAACCACCUGUCCUUUCAAGUGCUCUUGGUAUUUUUCUAUUUUAGCUGCAUAAGUUGUCCAGGGCUUGUUGUUUUCAUGUUUUUAAUAACUAUUUGCAAUAAUUACCUUCUUAUAGAGUUUUCAUUUGAACAUCAACGUAGAUGCCCAGAGUAAGACAGAGUUUUAGCUAGUUUGGCUAAUCAGUUUAACAUUCCUUCCUUAGAUCCUCACAGUAAAGAAAAAUAAUGAAUCCUAGCAGUUUGGCUCCAAAGUCUAUGUGCCUCGUCAAUGCACCUCACAGCCUCACCUGGUAUCCCCUGUGAGUGUGAACAGAAGAAUGGGUAGUGUGUCUCUGGUGCUGAGCAGAGAGGAUGCUCUAUCUGAAAGAGGGAAAAGUAAUCAUAUCAAUAUCACCACAGAUUGAGAGCUUUACACAUGGCUCCAUGUAUACCUUCAUUCACUUUGGUUUUUCUGUAUAGAGGAGGACUUUAGGUGAUACACCAAAGAACUUUUUUCAGUUUUAAUGCAUGUGGCAGAUACUGUAUAUUGACUUAACUGCUAUGUCAGUCAAUACUGCCUACAACAUAAAGGCUGGAAAUGCAAAUCACCUUCCCUACCUUCCCUGAAGCAGCCAUGUGACCUAAGUGUCUUUCAAAAAGAUACAUCCUCAAACAUUUCAGCAGGGGAACAAGCACUGUGAUUUGGCAGGUAGAGUGGGUGUUUGGAUUACAAGUGUAGAAUGGUGACAGCCCCUCUGGGCCACUGCAGUGAGGUGCUACAGCUGUUGCUGAGGUUUCCAGGACUUCUCCUGGCCUAUGCUUUGUGUGCUUCCUAGCUGUCAGUGCUCCUGGCUAUGGUGUGCAGGUGUGGGCCUCUGGACCUUUCAGACAUUUUAAGCACCAUCUAACAUCCUUUAGUAAAAAUUCUUCAUGCUUAAAUUAGAUACAGUGGAUUGUAUUAUUUGCAACUAAUUAUCUUUACUUAGAUAUGUAUAUGGCUAGCCCACUGAAUCCUGUGAUUUCACAAAAAUCAUUGCUUUGCAUGUGCUCAUGUUUAAAACAUAGUCAAUUGAAAGAAAACUAUUUAAGAUAAGUGGCAUAUGAACAUGCUGAAACUGUGAAGCCAGUGAGUGAAUGACUCGAAUCUAGAAAAUGUUCCUCAUUAAUUAAUGAAGUGUAAUGUUUUCUUAUUUUUCACUUUUUUAUUUGUUAUUUUUAGAUAUAGAUGACAGUAGAGUGUAUUUUGACAUAUUAUACAUACAUGGAGUAUAAUUUACUCUAAUUAGGAUCCCAUUCUUGUGGUUGUAUGUGAUGUGGUUUCACUGGUGGUGUAUUCGUAUAUGAACAUAGGAAAGUUAAUUUCCACAACCCUCCAUACAAACAAACUGAAAUUUAAAGAGGUUUGGUAAUAUGUCCAAUUUCACAUACCAGGGAACAAGAACCCAGGUCCUCCUCCCUCAUAUAUGUAGCACCCGCAUUCCCUCAUAGUUACAGCUCACAAAUAAAAUUGAUAAGCCAGGCAUGGAGGCACAUAUCUAUAAUCCCAUUGUCUCUGGAGGCUGAGGCAAGACGAUCAGGAAUUCAAAGCCAGCUUCAGCAACUUAGUAAGGCCCUAAAUACCUUGCUGAGAUCCUGUCUCAAAAUAAAAAAAUAAGAGCUGGGGAUAUGGUUCAGUAGUUAAGUACCAUGGAUUCAAUUCCUAAUACAAAAAUAAAUAAAUAAAUAAACCUGAUAAAAUACGAUUAGAUUUUAAACUUUGGUCUCUAUGAGUUUGAAUUGUGCUAUAUGAGAUUUUCACCCCAUCCCUGGAAAAUAAUAUUCCUGGUGGAUAUAUGUGGCCAGCUUGGAAACCCAUAAGAAUUUAGGAGCAUGGAAAAUAAGGGGAACUUUAGAGUCUUCCUAGCAAGAAAAAAAAAAAAAAAACACUGUCAUGACUCCCAAAUGGCUUUAAAAUCUUAGAAAUCUAUAGUUGAAGGUUUUUAGGCUUCAACAGUAUUUAAUUAUAACUUCUAGAAAAAAUGUUGUCACGGGUGUUUUUCAGAGGGCAAAUCUCUAGUUUUUAUUUUUAUUUUUGGUGGAGGGUGAACAUGGAUGUAACCCCAGAAAAAGAAGCAAGAGCGAGUCCAUCAGGGAAGGAAAGCAAAUAAAAUGAACCUGUAACUGAGCUGGCAGUACCUUCGCCGCAGACAAAGCCAGCUGCUCAAUCUCCAGGUCCUCUGCAGACAGGCUGUGUGCAGUCCUACAACUCAGGAAAGUCUGGAGGUGGGAGAAGAAAUGCAAGUAAUUUAAGCAGUGUCUCUUCUUCUCCUAUCUUUCAUUGUAAGUGUCCACCCCUGGUGAAUUAAGUCUCCUGCACCCUGGAUGUUCCCAGGCUCUUCUGAGUAGUGGGAAGGCGGAGUCCCUGAAAGCAGGCAGAUGCAGGUACAGCAGUCUCUCCUUGUCAAUGGCUGCCAUAAAGGACCCCAAAGUAUAUGUCAGCAGACAGACAGCAGCCUGGGCUUUCACCCAUGGAAAGAGAGUCAAUUGUCACACUGUGAAUCUGAGGCCCAGGGGCUGGACAGGGCCAAGCUGACCUUGAACAGUGAAUAAAAAGGACCUGGGACAACUGCAGACCAUGUGCUCAUAAAAUUUUUAUGUGACCAUAAUCUUUCUGUUGAAUUCAUGCUUCUUCUAUGUCUUUUAAGUUUCUGCCCAACUGUAUUCUAAAAAGGGUGAAAUAUUUCUAUUCAGAAAUUCAUUGAACUGCUAUCUUCCAAGGAUAUUGACCUAUACCCUUGAGGCUAAGUAUAUCUGCUGUAGAAAAAUGCAUCUGUUCAACUAUUUGAUAUAAAAAUUAGAUUUUUUUUAAAUUAACCUGUAAAACUGUAAACUUAAAAACUACUUCAAUAACAGGAAGUUCAACACUUUCUGACCUUGUGAUAAUUAACCAUGACCCCUGUGACUGUGUUAUAAUAUUUCUUUAUUCAGAACGUGCCUAAGGGCCUCCCUCCUUGAAUAUUAUCAAUUUUUCAGUAAAAUACAAUAUCUCUAGCAGGGAAUGUAGCUCAGCACUUACCUAGCAAGCUCCAGGCCCUAAGUUCAAUCCCCAGCACCCCUCCCCACUCCCAAAUUAUAAAAUGCAACAUAUAAUUUUUCCAGAGUUGUAAAAACCUACAAGCAAUAUAUAUGUUUAAUAAUCUGUGGUGGUAAAACUACAAAUAUGAAGUUUUAGAAUAGCCGUUAACAUCAUGACAGGACUAAAGAUAUGGAGAGAUGCUCUCAAAUUACACUGGAGAUUUGAAGCAUGAAUCAAAUUCCGUCCCCACACACAAAAGAUAUGAUUCUACACACAGAAAAGAUAAAACAAAUCAUGAAUUUAGAUGAUUUUGCUUAAUCCCUUCUAUAUCUCGAUUCUUUCCGAAUUUUCUAUAAAUAUUUUUAUUACUUUUUAAUCAGAAGUUAUACUUCAGAUGAAUCUAAAAAAUGCUCUAAAUUGAGAGCUUUGAUAAGAACUUGAAAGCAAACUGUUUAAUAAUUUAAGCAGAAAUCUAAUCACUUGUAUCCUGGACUGUGUGAACAAAGGGAUUUGAUUAGCUUAGACAAAUAACUCUUAUGCUACAGAGGCAAAGCCAGGAGAGCUUGUGGGAAAUGCAAAUUCAUUUCAUCAGUUCCAAUUCUGUACAUCUGGGUAAGAGCAGAAACCUGCAUCUCAUCAAGCUACAAGAUGAUUUUAACGUUGGUGGGGCCACCCUUUGAUCAACUCUGGCCAAAAGACAAGCCCAAGGCAUCAAAAUUUCAGAGACUCUCCAUCCAGAAACAAUGCUGUUCUGACCCAGGGAAUUCCAGGGUUCUGGCCCCUGUUGUAGAUGCUUCUGUAGACAUGACACUAUCUCCCCUGCGUUCAUCCAUGCUUUUUUAGCAGAUUUCCUAUGAUUGGCUUUCCUUGUGGUUUUUCUAAGAAGAAAAUAUUACUGCUUUGUCAAUAGUGGCAGUUGGGUUUGUCUGUCUUCUCUGUAACAUAAUAAAUUGGUACUCAGUUUAUAGAUCGGUCUCUCUGAGUUCAGUUAAUGUGAAUCUACUCCCCUGAAAAUUUGGUCCAUUUUCAGACAGGCAUGUAAGCUAUAAUAGCUGGAAUCUCUUAGCAAGGAGUUAGUGAGCCUCUUUCUCACAAUAGUAUAUCCAUUGUUAUUGCCAACCUGUCAGCACUUUCCAUGUUUCUGAUACAGCAUCUUGAAUUUCCUUUGGGAAUCACUCCAAGAUUCUUCCAAAAUCCAAAAAUAGCCCCUUACUCUAGGCCCAUCUAUUUGAACUCAACCUUAAGAGUUUUGAUUAAAAUAAAGGUAAAGCUUAGAUCCAUUGGUCUUUGUCAUGGAGCCACAAGGGGAAAAACAUGCUUGAGAAUGAAGCCACUAUGAACAAAAGAACUAAGAGACAGACAUAAAUUAGAGCUAGAGAAAGACAAAGAGAUAAUAAUAAAAAUAAAAUGGGGUCAUUAUUUGAAUCUUGGAUAUAGCUGGUCCACCCAUUAUCUGUGCUCAUGAGCUGAUGUGUUCCUUUUCUGGAUUCUGCCAGUUGGGAUUAGGUUUCCUUCCUUUACUAUGGUAAAAAAAUCUAAACUGAAACAACACUGCUCUGUUUCCAUGUACAGAGCAUCCCUUCCAGUGAACAAGUAACCUUAGUUCCAAAGACCCUGCACUUAUUUGGAGGACAUUUAAAACAAUCACACUCAUGGGAAGUGUGGAUUGCCAGACAUUAACGGCAAGGCAAGUCAGCUUCAUGUGCAACUAGGAAGAACCUAAGGCUGUCACUAGAAAACAAUGAUAGCACAGGCUGGGGCUUUCUAUUUCUAAGGAUGGUUUCCACUUGGCAUCAUGACAAAGGAGUAAAAACAUAGGUGCUCUGUGAAUCUUGCUGUGUCACAGAGUAUUUCCAUGCUUAUGUUUUAGGACUAUCACUUACGAAAUGGGAGGAAACCACCUUGUUCUCAGUGCCCCACAAAGGGACAGGAGCUGACAGCUGUACACCACCAUAGUCAAGCACCUUAGUUCUGAGCUUGGAGAGGAAAGGGACCUGGUCUGCAGGAAAAACAGUGCCUGACUGCAUUCACAGACUUCAGUUACACACAAAAUUCCUUUUGCCUGCUCUUUCUAAGUUACAUGAAACAAUUAAAAGAAGAAAAAAAAAACUGAUUUCUAGGGACACAAAUACAAACAACUUUUCCAGAAAAAUUAGGCUCUGAAUAGGGACUUUUCCAAUAUGUCAAAUAAACUUUAUUAUUUAUUUA